AUUUAUGAUUUUAAUUGAGGGAACCCACAAAAAAGUCCAUUGCUGGUUACAGGUGGAUUCGGUAAUUAUUAAAACCGGCAGCAGGUGAGUUUGACAAUUUAAAUUUUUUACGGUUGUGGAUUUUUGGUAAUGACAAACCAACAACAGGUGGUACCCAUUGUCAUUCCUAGUCAUGAGUUAGAGAUGGAGGGUGUCGAUUACAAUGUUUGUAAGUGAAAUUGAAAAAAAAAAAUUGUACAAGUGAAAUAGCACAUCAUAGCUAGUAGUUAAAAAAAUUUAAUUACUAGAAAAAAAAUUUACCACUAGGACAAUAUAUAUUUUUUUAAUCUUUUAUGUCUUUUGGACUAAAUUUUAUGCUUCUUUUAGUACAUAUAGGAUAUAUUUGAUUGAUUGGAUUUGAUUAGAUUAUAUUUUGAUUAUGUUGUAUUUUGUAUACUAGAGGUUGGACUAAAUUAGUACCUUGCAUAUAUAAUUUAACAUUAAAUUAUUGGAAAAAUAAUAAAAAUGGACUACAAGUUUAGAUGUUAAUUUAAAUUGGGAAAUUAUCUAUGCUCCACUUUUUUUUGUUAUAUGUACAUCUAACCACUACAAAAUUUUAGCAUAUUCUUUGCACCACCUUUGUUUUUUAACUUCUAUUAAUCAAUCACUUUGACACUAAGAAUUUAAAUAAAAUAACCAUUCUACCUCUACAUGAAUUAGCAGAUCAUUUUAUCCUACAAAAUU
RNAcentral lists this long non-coding RNA (723 nucleotides) under Citrus x clementina. Its description in RNAcentral is "Citrus clementina (C. clementina) long non-coding RNA (CCLE_LNC006587)". Lineage: Eukaryota; Viridiplantae; Streptophyta; Magnoliopsida; Sapindales; Rutaceae. The record is from RNAcentral.